UUCCGGUUGAUCCUGCCGGACCUGACUGCUAUCGGAUUGAUACUAAGCCAUGUGAGUCAUUGUAGCAAUACAAGGCAGACGGCUCAGUAACACGUAGCCAACCUACCCUAUGGACGGGGAUAACCUCGGGAAACUGAGGAUAAACCCCGAUAGAUCAUUAUGCCUGGAACGGCUUAUGGUCCAAAUGAUUCGUCGCCGUAGGAUGAGACUGCGGCCUAUCAGCUUGUUGGUGAGGUAAUGGCCCACCAAGGCUAUUACAGGUACGGGCUCUGAGAGGAGUAGCCCGGAGAUGGGUACUGAGACACGGACCCAGGCCCUAUGGGGCGCAGCAGGCGAGAAACCUUUGCAAUGUGCGCAAGCACGACAAGGUUAAUCCGAGUGUUUCCUGUUAAAGGAAUCUUUUGUUAGUCGUAAAAUCACUAUUGAAUAAGGGGUGGGCAAGUUCUGGUGUCAGCCGCCGCGGUAAAACCAGCACCUCAAGUGGUCAGGAUGAUUAUUGGGCCUAAAGCAUCCGUAGCCUGUUCUGAAAGUUUCCGGUUAAAUCCAUUAACUCAACUAAUGGGCUGCCGAAAAUACUGCAGAACUAGGGAGUGGGAGAGGUAGACGGUACUCGGUAGGAAGGGGUAAAAUCCUUUGGUCUAUUGAUGACCACCUGUGGCGAAGGCGGUCUACCAGAACACGUUCGACGGUGAGGGAUGAAAGCUGGGGGAGCAAACCGGAUUAGAUACCCGGGUAGUCCCAGCUGUAAACGAUGCAAACUCGGUGAUGCGCUGGCUUGUGGCCAGUGCAGUGCCGCAGGAAGCCGUUAAGUUUGCCGCCUGGGAAGUACGUACGCAAGUAUGAAACUUAAAGGAAUUGGCGGGGGAGCACACAAGGGUGAGCUGCGGU
Molecule: ribosomal RNA, 888 nt
Filed under: uncultured archaeon
Lineage: Archaea
Description: bacterial SSU rRNA
Rfam family: Archaeal small subunit ribosomal RNA
Source: RNAcentral